GAUGAAGAACGUAGCGAAAUGCGAUAAGUAAUGUGAAUUGCAGAAUUCAGUGAAUCAUCGAAUCUUUGAACGCACCUUGCACCCUUUGGCAUUCCGAAGGGUAUGCUCGUUUGAGUGUCAUUGUACUCUCACACUCCCAAUUGCUUUGGAUUGGGAGCGGUGGACUUGGGUGUUGCUGCUUGACUGAGGCUCACCUGAAAUAUGUUAGUGCACCUCUUGAUUGGACAUAGUACGGCGUGAUAAGUGUCUUCGCCGGCUCCUCGCAAAGAGGGUGGCCGAUCGGGAGCUCUGUUGCUUCAAACUGUCUUCGGACAAUCUUCUGGCGACUUGACCUCAAAUCGAGUAGGACUACCCGCUGAACUUAAGCAUAUCAAUAAGCGGAGA
RNAcentral lists this unclassified non-coding RNA (384 nucleotides) under soil metagenome. RNAcentral's name for it is "partial contains 5.8S ribosomal RNA, internal transcribed spacer 2, and large subunit ribosomal RNA". The stretch from base 1 to 120 matches the Rfam family "5.8S ribosomal RNA", at positions 35 to 154 of the family's 154-position model. The record is from RNAcentral.